AGUGAACGCUGGCGGUAGGCCUAACACAUGCAAGUCGAACGGCAGCACAGUAAGAGCUUGCUCUUACGGGUGGCGAGUGGCGGACGGGUGAGGAAUACAUCGGAAUCUACUUUUUCGUGGGGGAUAACGUAGGGAAACUUACGCUAAUACCGCAUACGACCUACGGGUGAAAGCAGGGGAUCUUCGGACCUUGCGCGAUUGAAUGAGCCGAUGCCGGAUUAGCUAGUUGGCGGGGUAAAGGCCCACCAAGGCGACGAUCCGUAGCUGGUCUGAGAGGAUGAUCGGCCACACUGGAACUGAGACACGGUCCAGACUCCUACGGGAGGCAGCAGUGGGGAAUAUUCGACAAUGGGCGCAAGCCUGAUCCAGCCAUACCGCGUGGGUGAAGAAGGCCUUCGGGUUGUAAAGCCCUUUUGUUGGGAAAGAAAAGCAGCAGGUUAAUACCCCGCUGUUCUGACGGUACCCAAAGAAUAAGCACCGGCUAACUUCGUG
RNAcentral lists this ribosomal RNA (492 nucleotides) under uncultured bacterium. Its description in RNAcentral is "partial 16S ribosomal RNA". It matches the Rfam family "Bacterial small subunit ribosomal RNA", at positions 29 to 507 of the family's 1533-position model. The record is from RNAcentral.